Molecule: ribosomal RNA, 513 nt
Filed under: uncultured bacterium
Lineage: Bacteria
Description: bacterial SSU rRNA
Rfam family: Bacterial small subunit ribosomal RNA
Source: RNAcentral
GAGUUUGAUCCUGGCUCAGAAUGAACGCUGGCGGCGUGCUUUACACAUGCAAGUCGAGCGAGGCGUCCCGCAAGGGAUAGUCGAGCGGCGAACGGGUGAGUAACGCGUGGAUAACCUGCCCUGAGGUGGGGGAUAACCAAGGGAAACUUUGGCUAAUACCGCAUGAUACCGAGAGGUCAAAGGGGGCUCGCAAGGGCUCUCGCCAUAGGAGGGGUCCGCGUACGAUUAGCUAGUUGGUAGGUUAAUGGCCUACCAAGGCGACGAUCGUUAGCCGGCCUGAGAGGGUGAUCGGCCACACUGGAACUGAGACACGGUCCAGACUCCUACGGGAGGCAGCAGUGGGGAAUUUUGCGCAAUGGGGGAAACCCUGACGCAGCAACGCCGCGUGGAGGAUGAAGGUCCUUGGAUUGUGAACUCCUGUCAGCAGGGAAAAAGCGACUUGACCUCAUACGUCAGGGAGUUGAUUGUACCUGCAGAGGAAGCCCCGGCUAACUCUGUGCCAGCCGCCGCAGU